ACGCUCGACACCUACGGUAGGCAGCAGUGGGGAAUAUUGCACAAUGGGGGAAACCCUGAUGCAGCGACGCCGCGUGAGCGAAGAAGUAUUUCGGUGUGUAAAGCUCUAUCAGCAGGGAAGAAACUGACGGUACCUGACUAAGAAGCACCGGCUAAAUACGUGCCAACAGCCGCGGUAAUCUGAGCGGGCUGGCAAGGC
This 198-nucleotide ribosomal RNA is filed under the name uncultured bacterium. RNAcentral's name for it is "partial 16S ribosomal RNA". It matches the Rfam family "Bacterial small subunit ribosomal RNA", at positions 326 to 539 of the family's 1533-position model. The record is from RNAcentral.